Molecule: non-coding RNA, 124 nt
Organism: Triticum urartu
Lineage: Eukaryota; Viridiplantae; Streptophyta; Magnoliopsida; Poales; Poaceae
Source: Rfam
GACGUACUCCCUCCGUCCGGAAAUACCUAUCCAAGAAAUGGAUAAAAUGGAUGUAUCUAUAACUAAAAUAAGUCUAGAUACAACCAUUUCUAAGACAAGUAUUUCCGGACGGAGGGAGUAAGAA